UUAAGAAUUUAAUGGUGGUAAUGAUAUAUGUUUGGAGAAUGAUUACCUGUUAUACGACACAGGCCCCUAUUAUGGUGCCUUGUAUGUUCUUAUAAGAGAGGGCGUGUCGAUAAAUAGUUAUUGCUAAUGGAAACUGCCUAUCCAGAAGUGAAUGUGGUAGACAAUGUCUAUAUCCAUAUGGGUCCUACGCCAGCUUUUGAAAGCAUUUGACUUUAAAAGUAUUGUCAUCGAAAGAUAAUUUACUUCAAGAUCCACAAAUACCUCUCUCUGUAACCCAACCUUAGCUAUGGUUGUUAUUUCACUUAGCUGCUAAUGGAUUCGGAACUGGUGACCGUUUUAUGAAGUGCUAUGUAAACUGAUACAUAUUGGAACAUCCAGUUGACGACAUCGCAAAUAUAUCAUUUAGAGAUCAGAUCUUCGACCUUAAAAAUAUUUUCUUUCUAAUGUAUAUCUUAAGCUUAGCCUACAUUACUGGUUUAUCUCUAUGGAAAUCACAGCAAGCAAAGCGAGGUGUUCUCGAUCAGAUGGGUUCCAAGAAAAUCUAAAUCGUGUCCCGACUAAAGAGGUGUUUAAAUAAGAACUUGUUCUGAUAUUUUGAUAAAUCCAAAAGAGAAUUAUUUUAUUUAUAAGAUUGGACUUGAUGGUGAUGUUGGUGGCUUCUCGUUCGCGGAUAAUCGUCGAAAUCCACGUACAGUUCGUCUCCAGGGUGGACAUGGACAGCGUGAGUGAAUCCUACCCAAAGGCACCCGUCGAGGUCUCAAACCUUUCGCCGAUUAUAAGCCCAGCGUGAACUUUCCGACGGGCCCGAAACGAGCUGAGAUGUUUAAACAACGAAAAAAAUCUGACAUCCAUUUCUUAUGGGGAAUUCUUCCUUUCGUCUCCAUCGCCCCUCAGUUGUCACCUUGACGUGCUCAUUCGAAUUGGUGAAAGAAGGAUGAUAGCAGUGAUCCUAUCCCUCCAUGAAUUGUUACUGAUUGGGAACAACAAGCCCAGUAAUGGAGUACUGAGGACUAUUGGAAUUGUAAUAUAGCAUAUUUUUAUUUUAUUUUAACUUAUUUUCUCGAAGAUAUUAGCUCUACAGCUACACUGUAAAUUUCGAGCAUAAAUAAAGUAUAUGUAUCUUUAUA
Long non-coding RNA from Pocillopora damicornis (cauliflower coral), 1127 nucleotides. RefSeq lists it as uncharacterized. Lineage: Eukaryota; Metazoa; Cnidaria; Anthozoa; Scleractinia; Pocilloporidae. The record is from RefSeq and is a predicted model, not a curated record.